RNAcentral lists this ribosomal RNA (406 nucleotides) under uncultured bacterium. RNAcentral's name for it is "partial 16S ribosomal RNA". It matches the Rfam family "Bacterial small subunit ribosomal RNA", at positions 30 to 526 of the family's 1533-position model. The record is from RNAcentral.
AUUGAACGCUGGCGGCAGGCCUAACACAUGCAAGUCGAACGAGUGGCGGACGGGUGAGUAAUGUCUGGGAAACUGCCUGAUGGAGGGGGAUAACUACUGGAAACGGUAGCUAAUACCGCAUACCAUCGGAUGUGCCCAGAUGGGACUAGCUAGUAGGUGGGGUAAAGGCUCACCUAGGCGACGAACCCUAGCUGGUCUGAGAGGAUGACCAGCCACACUAGAACUGGGACCCGGUCCAGGCUCCUGCGUGAGGCGGCAGUGGGGAAUAUUGCACAGUGGGCGCAAGCCUGAUGCAGCCAUGCCACGUGUAUGAAGAAGGCCUUCGGGUUGUAAAGUACUUUCAGCGGGGAGGCGUUACCCGCAGAAGAAGCACCGGCUAACUCCGUGCCAGCAGCCGCGGUAAUUC